This 23391-nucleotide long non-coding RNA is filed under the name Zea mays. RNAcentral's name for it is "long non-coding RNA (ZMAY_LNC002117)". Lineage: Eukaryota; Viridiplantae; Streptophyta; Magnoliopsida; Poales; Poaceae. The record is from RNAcentral.
GCGCAUGGACAAGUUCUACUGGGCUCCCACCCGCGAGGACCGCGUGGGCGUGUGCAAGGGCAUCUUCCGCAGCGACGGCGUCCCCGACGAGGACGUGGUGAGGCUGGUGGACGCCUUCCCGGGCCAGUCCAUCGACUUCUUCGGCGCCCUCCGCGCCAGGGUGUACGACGACGAGGUGCGGCGGUGGGUGGCCGAGACCGGCGUGGAGAACAUCGCCAGGAGGCUCGUCAACUCCAAGGAGGGCCCGCCCACGUUCGAGCAGCCGAGGAUGACGCUGGACAAGCUCAUGGAGUACGGGCGCAUGCUGGUGGAGGAGCAGGAGAACGUGAAGCGCGUGCAGCUGGCAGACAAGUACCUCAGCGAGGCGGCGCUGGGCGACGCAAACGACGACGACGACUUGUAUGGCAAGGCGGCGCAGCAUGUCCGCGUGCCCGUGCCGGAGGGGUGCACUGACCCCAAGGCCGGCAACUUCGACCCUACCGCCAGGAGCGACGACGGCAGCUGCGUGUACAACUAAUAUAAUUGUCCAAACAAUUUCUGUGGCACGUACUUAAGUUUGAGCCAGGAUACAAACUUUGGCCGCUAAUGGUUGCUGUCGCCGGUCAAGAGGGCGUUGGCUACUUGAGUUAGAUUUUGGUUGUGUUUCAUCCCCACGUACGUCCAGCAAAGAAAAAUUGAAGCUAGUGCAUGCAUGGUUCGUCAUCAAAUGCAUGGCCGGCCGGAUACAAAUUUGAACUGUAGCUAUCGACGUACGCAUGUAUUAAUUUAUAUCAGAGAAGACAAGGAACACAGAUACAUACAUGUCGAAACAAUCAUUUUCUAUGGCACUUGAGCUAGCUAGCAUACAAUUUUGUUUUAAAUGAAAUGAAACUGAAGACGAUCGAUCGAAUUGAAGGUUGUGGUUCGUGAGCAAUGCAAUGCAGUUUCACAGAACGUUGCCAAUGCAACAAGCCACCAAGAAAAGAGAAGUCUACUCGAUCUUGCAAUGAUUAGGCUUGGAUGAUGCGUGGGGCCACGUACGUAUGGACAUCGAAGAACCCCAUCCUCAGCGUGUGGCCUGAGGGUGAUGGCAAAGCUGAUCCACACAUUGCGGCCCCCUUUCCCCCCUCAGAGACCCUGACCUCCCGAGCACAGCCAGCCACCGCGCAACGCCGGCCACCACCACCACCACCAUACCUGCUAGCGCUAGCUCUCUUUAUUUAACGCCGCCGUGUGCGUGCCUCGACGACCUCACUACUUUGAGCUGCAAGGUCCGAACUAAAAAGCACAAGAAAUGGCGGCCGCCUUCUCCUCCACCGUCGGAGCUCCGGUGGGUGACCGCGCGUGUUAAUUCCAAGCAUCUGCUAGCUGCUCUGCUGCUAGUUCGGGAUCUUCUUCUUCAUGCAUGCAUUUCAUGAUCAUAUAUGUAUCUCCUUGAGACCUUCUUGACGGCAUAUAUAUGUAUAUGUACAUGCAUCAUGCAUCGACCGAUCAUCAGGCCUCCACCCCGACCAGGAGCAGCUUCCUCGGGAAGAAGCUCAACAAGCCGCAGGUGUCCGCGGCCGUGACCUACCAUGGCAAGAGCUCCAGCAGCAACAGCAGGUUCAAGGCGAUGGCUGCCAAGGAGGUGGACGAGACGAAGCAGACCGACGAGGACAGGUGGAAGGGCCUGGCCUACGACAUCUCGGACGACCAGCAGGACAUCACCAGGGGCAAGGGCCUCGUCGACAACCUCUUCCAGGCGCCUAUGGGGGACGGCACCCACGUCGCCGUGCUCAGCUCCUACGACUACAUCAGCCAGGGCCAAAAGUCUUACAACUUCGACAACAUGAUGGAUGGCUUCUACAUAGCCAAGGGCUUCAUGGACAAGCUCGUCGUCCACCUCUCCAAGAACUUCAUGACCCUGCCAAACAUCAAGGUUCCCCUCAUCCUGGGUAUCUGGGGAGGCAAAGGCCAGGGAAAAUCGUUCCAAUGCGAGCUGGUCUUCGCCAAGAUGGGCAUCACGUACGUUAAUUUAUUUCGAUUCGUCUAUUAUUAUUGCCUUCGAUAAUAUAUACUAGCUAGUAGUAAAUCAUUCCAAUGCAUGCAUGCAUGCAGCCCCAUCAUGAUGAGCGCCGGCGAGCUGGAGAGCGGCAACGCCGGAGAGCCCGCCAAGCUCAUCAGGCAGCGCUACCGUGAGGCCUCCGACCUCAUCAAGAAGGGCAAGAUGUCCUGCCUCUUCAUCAACGACCUCGACGCCGGCGCGGGUCGCAUGGGCGGCACCACCCAGUACACGGUGAACAACCAGAUGGUCAACGCCACCCUGAUGAACAUCGCCGACAACCCCACCAACGUGCAGCUCCCGGGGAUGUACAACAAGGAGGACAACCCCCGCGUGCCCAUCAUCGUCACCGGCAACGACUUCUCCACGCUCUACGCGCCGCUCAUCCGCGACGGCCGCAUGGAGAAGUUCUACUGGGCGCCCACCCGCGAGGACCGCAUCGGCGUCUGCAAGGGCAUCUUCCGCACCGACGGCGUCGACGAGGAGCACGUCGUCCAGCUGGUCGACACCUUCCCUGGCCAGUCCAUCGACUUCUUCGGCGCGCUGCGUGCCCGGGUCUACGACGACGAGGUCCGACGGUGGGUGAGCGAGACCGGCGUCGAGAACAUCGCCAGGAAGCUCGUCAACUCCAAGGAGGGCCCGCCCACGUUCGAGCAGCCCAAGAUAACGAUCGAGAAGCUCUUGGAGUACGGACACAUGCUGGUGGCGGAGCAGGAGAACGUCAAGCGUGUGCAGCUUGCUGACAAGUACCUCAACGAGGCUGCUCUUGGUGAAGCCAACGAGGACGCCAUGAAGACUGGCUCCUUCUUCAAGUAGAAAGCAACUCUUUGCUAUUGCUAGCUAGGCGCGAGGCCGGCAUAGGAUCGAGGAGGUGAAUAUAUAUAUUACUUGGAUAGUUUUGUAAUAUAUAUAUAUAUAUUACUGAACCAGGACAUGCAUACAUAUAUUCGUCUAUAUAAUGGAUCAUGUAUAUUUCAUUUCAGGGCGCCACCAAAAUGCAUUGGAGCUAACGAACAGCGAGGGGCGAUCAUGGCAGCAGCUGCCACUACAUCUUCUAAACUUGCCAUUUUUAUUAUCCCUGAUCCAUGUAUUACUCUUAAUUUGUACGUACUACAAUACGGGAUCUGGCCAAGCGCGAUAUAUAGCUGGGCAUGCAAAGUUUUUGUCGAUGUUUUUUUUUUGAAAGAAACAAGGUAGAAGGGCUAGCUGUGCUUGUUAAAUUAAAAAGAAGGUGAGCCAAGACUAGCAGAACAAGGCUGUACAAAAAAAACUACACAAAGUGUGCCAAAGAAGAACUCUCAGUGUCGGCCUAUAUAUCAAAAUUGCCAUAUGUUUCACUCCUGCCAUGAUCCACACUCCGCUUUCAUCUUUUAUUUUCUGUAUGUUGGGCUGUGUGUAUGUGUUGGUGUUGGGCUUGGACCUUGUACUUAGGGGUGUUUGGUUCCUUCAGUCAUAUGUGUUUGCAACCUAUAUGAGUACCCUAUCUGACGGAGUAUCCCCGUGACACAACGAACAUGUCUGGUGUCUUAUGGACCUCUCCAAACACGAUGUAGACCUCUACGAGUAAUAUAUCCAGUGCCCCAUUAUGUGCUACUUCAAUGCAAUCCUGCGUGUCAAGUGUACUCUGAUUUUCAGCCCUUUCUUCGGUACAGACGCUUCUCCUGUCCGAUGCUUUAUCUGGUGCUACACCAGACAUGUCCGAUGUUGCUCGGCAGCCUAUUUUAUUUUCUUCGUUUCUCUUUAAUCAAGCUUUUUCUAUCUUUUGUCUUGGACUCUUGCGUGAUUUCGGUAGGUUUUUGGCAUUUUUUCUAAUAUAUUGUUUGAAUUGUUGAUCUUCUCGAUCACCAUGUUGCCUUUGUCUAAGUCCACACUACAUCCUUUGAACUAUAUUCAUAAACACUAGCAAACAACAUAGUUCAAAUGGUUACGUUGGUCAUCAAAAACAAUAAUCCAUUAAUCAAAUUAGCUAGGUUCAUUUUCCUUACAACUACGAACAUGCUUGUGAGGGAAUCUUAUGCUCAUCCCUGCAGAAGAUUUGCGAAGAGGAAAUCUAGUUGAAUAGUAGCUUGUUGGAGCGCCGCUCUAUAGUUUGAUUCUUAUUAAACUAUUAUCAUGGGCUUGCGUUCUGACAUCAAUUAGUGUGUGAAUCACCUAGUUUGGACUCGCUAUAUCAAGGAUGUAGGUUGCCGACAAGUAACCAAAUCUCAUGGAUAAAUAUUGCGUCAUCUCUUGCCCUGUGUGGUUUGCCCUCUAAAUUAUCCUUGCUAAUUACAUAUAGUUGUUACUAGUUCAUACAUUUGUUAUAUAUAUGUUUUUUGUUUUAUUUCCCUUGUUUGGAACAUAGCUUGUCGUAGUCAUCCAUUUAUUUCACAAUAUAUUAGCUACUUUAGAGAAGUAGUCUAGAACAAAAAUAGUGCAACUAAUCGUUUGCGUACAUUCUUUUAUAUUGGCUCUAGUUACAUUUGUUAGAUUUGUAGAGUGUUUUUAUAGGCUAUUCAACCCCACUCUAGCCAUCUAGGUCCUUUCAAGUAGUACUAAAGCUAGAACACUAGUGUUUUUAGGCUUAACAUUGUAUGAUAAAAAGAUGGCUACUAAUUUUGUAGGCAGAGUAAUAUCCUCAUGUCGUGGUUUCGAAAACCAUGAGACAAUAAGAUUUGUGUGUCGACAAGGGUGCUAGCGCGGACUCACUCUAAAUGGUGAGCCACGAGGGGCUCGAAGGUGGAUUUGAGAGAGGGGUUAUACUGGUUCAGGCUUGCGCCCUAGUCUAGUGUAGUGCUGAUCAUAGUAUUAUUGCUUGGAGCAUGUUACAGUUGAGUGCUUGUGUGUUGAAGAUGGGGGUUGUCUUGUCCUUUUAUAGUUCAAGAGUAGAUUUUACACUGAGAACUUGCAUUCUUCCCAGGAGAAGUUCGAUCUAUUGCCUUGGGUUGCCUUAGCCCUCCUAGCGUCGUCCAUAGGGGGGUGCUGGCGAUUCUUGAUGUGGCAUUCUGUCUUGUCUACCCGAUGUUUUUGUCCCUGUAGCUUAUCUGAUGCCAACAUAGUGGUACACGGCGGGUCCCGCAGAGUGGCCUCAUGGUGAGGUUUAGGGUUGUAUUUAGUACAACUUCAUCAUCUAUCAUGACCCUUGCGUCACCUAUCGGUACGCGUUGGCAUACAACUGGUAUGGCGUACUAUCCCGUUCUUUCAGGUAAUCCGAUCACUGUAGAGGCUCCGAUGCUGAGGUACCUGUGAAUGGGUUUAACUGGUCCCACCGGUGAACGGGGGCACAUCUGAGAACGUAUUGGGAGUCGUGUUUGAUAGAGGCCCUUUGACAUUGUUCCCCUGGUACAGACAUGGUUUGGUGAUGGUUUGUUUUAUCGUACUGACGUUGCUCAGUGGUACUCAGUCAGCCCCCGCCCCCUCCCCUUGACCUGUGGGUCUGCUUGCUAGAGGGUUGGUCGGCAACUCCGUUUCGCCGAGUUACUCGGUAGGCAGAUGGUCAACAACUCUAUCUUGUCGUGUUGCUCGGCAAACGGGUUGGUAGGCAACUCCGCCUCGCCAUGUUCCUCGGCGAGCGGGUUGGUCGACAACUCUGUCUUGUCGUGUUGCUCGGCGAGCGGGUUGGUCGACAAUUCUGGCUCGCUGAUUUGCUCGGUAGGCGGGUUGGUCAGCAACUCCGCCUCGCCGAUUCGCUCGGUAGGCGGGUCGGUCGACAACUCCGCCUCGCCGAUUCGCACCUGGUUCCUAGCUACCCGACAGCAGCCCCCCGAGCCUGUGUGUAACUCCUUGGAGUUGCGCAGAGGCUUUUCCUAAGUGGUUGUCUUUUUAGGUGCGCGCAAGCGCAUCUGCUAGAUGUAGCCCCCGAGCAAUCGACGUGGAUUACUUGAGGGUUUAUGCAGUGUAAGGGGUGGACCCUUUUCUGUGGUGGUUCAUCACGCACUGGGCAUGGGCCCAUUUGUUAUUGCCUAGCUCGCUUUUAAUAGCAAGGGCCUUUGGCACACAUAAACGCAUCUGCUAGAUGUAGCCCCCGAGCUCCCGAGUAAUCCAUGUGGAUUGCUUGGGGGUUAUGCAGUGUAAGGGACGGACCCAUUUUCUGUGGUGGUCCAUCACACACUAGGCAUGAGUCCAUUUGUUAUUGCCUAGCUCGCUUUUGCUAGCCAGGGCCUCGGGCGCGCGCAAACGCAUCUGCUAGAUGUAGCCCUCGAGCCCUCGAGUAAUCCAUGUGGAUUGCUUGGGGGUUUAUGAAGUGUAAGGGACGAACCCUUUUCUGCAAUGGUCUUCACGCAUCGGGUGUGAGACCAUUUCGGUCGAAGCUAGGCAUGGCUUCUGGUACUUGUUUCUUCGCUUGGCGGUAUGAUUCCUUUUGUGCGCGCAUCUCCUUCGAGAAGGUUCCUUUGAAAUCCUUGUGGGGGGGAGGGCCCCCUCCUCCAACCUAGUUGGUGCGUGGAGGGGGUCGUCGAGCUACGAACGGGUUAUCCAAGUGAGAUAUGACAACCCUUCGACUGGGCGUAGUCUCGGCGAGUGGUCCGACUAGGGGGCUCGAUCCGCUGGGCAUCUUAUCAAGUCCUUCCUUAUGCAAUCCUGUAUCAGCCCUUUGGUCCGUGGCCACCCCGUCGGCCGAGUUUUCACGGGAGAAUGUGAGGUACGAUCUUGGACGUGGAUUCGAGCAAAUGACCUAUGGGACGGUCACCUUGCCUGUGGCUCGCUAGGAGCAUGCUCGGUCCAUCCCUUGCUCUAUGUGGGAUUUUUGAAUGCAUUUUGAUUUAUCACCUAGCUAUUUCGAGACAGUUACUAUUGUGGUGCGGUAAUAACGGGUAGCCAUCAUGAUGUUACUUGGUGUGAGCGACCUGAUGGGACGUGAAAUGGUUCGUCUGUCAUGUCGUGCUUGGGUUGCGUGGUGGUCUGGCUAACCUCCCCGGUCGUUACUAUUGUACCUCUCGUGGCUUAUCUUCCUGGUGCUCUACCCCAGGCGGCGAGGUCCUGCAAAACACAUGGUCUCUUUGCUCUAUACCCGUGGUUCCUCCAUCGUUUGUUCGUGGUUGUCCCUGGCUUUGCAUAAAUAAAGGAAGAGUGUGCUCAAGGUCAGUUUACGCUUACCAUACCCUUGCGUUAUGCCUUUUGGAACCUCUCGUGUUGUUCUUCCUCCCUGUGUCGUUCCGACUUGCUCCCUAUGUGUAUGGCAUCAUUCCCAGCCAACUCAAUCUGAGAGAGUCUCCUCCAUGGCCUAGAGAAGAAAGGGUUCAUUCCCCUGAAGGAUGUUUCGAGGUGGAGAUUGGAUAGAGAGGGGAAAGUGCCAUGUCCUGGGGAUGAUGAGGUGGUCAUGCUCGCGUCCUUUUAUGAGUGCGGGUUCGGCCUCCCCCUGCACCCCUUCAUGCAUGGGCUUCUUCAUUACUAUCAGUUGGAGGUGCAGAACCUUCAUCACAAUGUCAUUCUUCACAUAGUGUGUUUAAUCAUGCUAGGUGAGGUGUUCAUGGGGAUCGAUCCGCAUUGGGGGAUGUGGCAAUACCUCUUCAGUGUGCGAGUGUCCCCGGGCCGCGGCGACCAACUGAAAGGGAAAUGUGCCCUUGGGCAAUUUCUAUAAUGUUUUGGUGAUUAAGUGACCAACACGUUUAAUUAAGUUCUUAUGUGCCAAAUAAAGUGAGAAAUGCAAAUCAAGGCAAAAGGUAUGUUUCUAGACUUGGUGAAUUGUUUUAUGUACUAACAUGAUUAUCCAAGUGCGAGAAACAGUGACUAAAGAAGAAGAGAGAAAAAGGAAAAGACUUGGCUCUGUGCAGCCAAUCUUCAGCUCGGUCUGGCACACCGGACUGUCCGGUGCUGCAUCGAACAGUGUCCAGUGCGCCAGGCUGGUCCGCGGUGAACUCGCCGCUCUAGGGAUUCGACGGCGGCGUACGACUAUAAUUCACCGGACUGUCCGGUGGAGCACCGGACUGUCCGGUGGGUCAUCCGAGGCGAACUCGUUACUCUCGGGAAUGAAGAAAGGCGACAUGGUUAAAAUUCACCGGACUGUCCGGUGGUGCACCGGACUGUCCGGUGAGCCAACGGUCGCCAGCGCCAACGGUCGGCCGCGAAAUCAGCGGGCGACGCGUGGCAGCUCUAACGGUCAGAGGGGGGCACCGGACUGUCCGGUGCGCCAACGGGCCCGGAGCUGCAACGGUCGUCUGUGCCCGAUUUGGAAGGAAAUCGCGCACCGGACAGGCUACAGUAGCUGUUCGGUGGCGCACCGGACUGUCCGGUGCGCCACUCGACAGAAGGCAAGGAUGGCCUUCCAAGUUUGCCUCCAACGGCUCCUAGCUACCUUGUGGCUAUAAAAGGGACCCCUAGGCGCAUGGAGGAAUCAUCUAAGCAUUCACUAAGCAUUCUAAGACUCUCACACUCCACAUCCUCGCAUUUGAUCGAUUGUGUUAGUGAUUUGAGCUCCGUUCGAGUUGUGAACUCUCUGUGCUACAUUUCGAGCUCAAGUCUUGGCUUGUGUGUGUGUGUGUGCUGCGGAUUUGUGUGUUGUGUGUGUUGCUCUCCUAGCCUUACUCUUGUGCCUUCUUUGUGAUCUUUAUUGUAAGGGCGAGAGACUCCAACUUGUGGAGAUUCCUCACAAAUGGGCGAAAGACUAUAAGGAAAAAAGUCGUGGUAUUCAAGUUGAUCAUUGGAUCACUUGAAAGGGUUUGAGUGCAACCCUCAUCCAUUGGGACGCUACAACAUGGAAGUAGGCAAGUGUCACUUGGCCGAACCACGGGAUAAAAAUCGCGUGUCUCUUGUGUUGCUUUCUCUGUGAUUGUUUUGUCCACAAGAACUCGCCUCAAAACUACUUAGUCGUACUAACACGUCUAUAACUAAAUUUUGUGGCUAUUUAGUGUUUGAUUUUACAGGAUCACCUAUUCACCCCCCUCUAGGUGCUCUCAAUUGGUAUCAGAGCUGUACUCUUCAUUUAAGGGACUAACCGCCCAAAGAGAUGGAUCCUAAAGGAAAGGGGAUGGUGGUCAACGACAAGGAAAAGGAGUCUGUCUUCAACGAGCCAAGAGACGACAAGCCUACUAACUCAGGCUCGAGUCAAAAGAAGAGAGACGGGAAGAAGAAGAGGCGCAUCAAGAAGAUCAUCUACUACGACAGCGAUGCCUCAUCUUCUUCACCACACGACGAAGACGACGACUCUUCAAAAAAAGAAAACGGUUAAUCAAAACUAUUCAUUUGAUUAUUCUCGUAUUCCAUUUAAUUCAAAUGCUCAUUUGCUAUCAAUUCCACUUGGGAAACCUCCACACUUUGAUGGAGAAGGCUACUCUUUCUGGAGUCAUAAAAUGCGUAGUCAUUUAUUUUCUCUCCAUCCUAGUAUCUGGGAGAUUGUUGAAAACAGAAUGCAUUUUGAUAGUACUGACAAUCCCAUUUUCAUAAAUGAGCAAAUUCAUAAAAAUGCACAAGCUACUACUGUCUUGCUAGCUUCACUUUGCAGGGAUGAAUAUAAUAAGGUGAGCGGCUUAGACAACGCCAAGCAAAUCUGGGACACCCUCAAGAUAUCUCAUGAGGGAAACGACGCCAUCAUGAUCACCAAAAUGGAGCUGGUGGAAGGCGAGCUGGGGAGAUUCGCGAUGAUCAUGGGAGAGGAGCCAACUCAGACUUACAACAGGCUCAAGACUCUGGUCAACAAGAUCUGAAGCUAUGGAAGCACAAGAUGGACAGAUCAUGAUGUCGUCCGACUCAUGCUAAGGUCAUUUAAUGUAAUUGACCCCCAUCUUGUCAAUCUUAUUCGUGAGAAUCCCAGGUACACCAAGAUGACGCCCGAGGAGAUUCUUGGAAUAUUUGUGAGCGGACGCAUGAUGGUGAAGGAGGCUCGAUACGUGGACGAUGCUCUAAAUGGUCCACUUCCCGUCUACGAGCCUCAACCUGUUGCUCUUAAGGCAAACAGUAGCAGGGAGGCACUUCCAAGCAAGGUGGCACAAGUGGAGGCUGUUGGCCUCAACGAGGAUGAGAUGGCGCUUAUCAUCAAGCGCUUCAAGACCGCGCUUAAAGGACACAAGGAGUACCCCAACAAGAACAAAACAAGGGGAAAGCGCUCCUGCUUUAAAUGCGGUAAGACUGGUCACUUUAUUGCAAAUUAUUCCGAUAAUGAUAGUGACCAGGGACAAGAAAAGAGCGGGAAGAAGGAGAAAAAGAAGAACUACAAGAAGGCAAAGGGCGAGGCGCACCUUGGAAAGGAAUGGGACUCGGACUGCUCCUCCUCCGACUCUGAUGACGAAGGACUCGCUGCCUCGGCCUUCAACAAAUCCUCACUCUUCCCUAACAAACGCCAUACAUGUCUUAUGGCCAAGGAGAAAAAGGUACGUGCUCGGGACACACCCAAGUACACUUCAUCUAGUGAUGAAGAAUCCUCCGAUGAUGAAGUAGAUUACACUAGUUUAUUUAAAGGUUUAGAUAGAGCCAAAGUAGAGAAAAUUAAUGAAUUAAUUGAUGCUCUAAAUAAAAAAGAUAGAUUGCUAGAGAAGCAAUAAGAUAUUUUGUAUGAAGAACAUGACAAAUUUAUUAGUGUUCAAAAAUCUCUUGCUCUAGAAAUUAAAAGAAAUGAAAUGCUAUCCUCUGAGUUGUCUGCUUGCCAUGAAUCUGUUUCUAGUUUAAGGAGUUUAAAUGAUGAAUUAAAUGCUAAGCUAGAGGAAGUUAAUAAAUCUAGUUCAUGUGUAGAGCAUGUUGUUAUUUGUAAUAGAUGUAAGGAUUUUGAUGUUGAUGCCUGUAAUGAACAUAUUGCUUCCAUUACUAAAUUAAAUGAUGUGGUGGCAAGUCUUAAUGCUCAACUUAAGACUUGCAAAAUUAAGUUUGAUAAAUUAAAAUUUGCUAGGGAUGCCUACACUAUUGGUAGACAUCCCUCUAUUAAGGAUGGACUUGGUUUUCGAAAGGAAACCAAGAACUUAACAAGCCAAAAGGCUCCCAUUCUCAACAAGGAGAAAGGGAAGGCCCCCAUGGCUAGUAGUUCUAAAAAAUGUCAUGCCUACAUUUAUGAUAGAAAAUUUUCUAGGAAUGCUUAUAAUGAUAGAGACUAUGAUCAUGCUAUGAUUGCUUCUAGCUCUACUUUUAUGCAUGGUAGAAAUAGGCCUAGGCGCAAUCAUGUUGUGUCUCAUGCGCCUAGGAGGAAUAAUGUUGUGUCUCAUAUGCCUAGAAAAAUGUGCAAUGAACCCACUACUGUUUUUCAUGCUUGCAACACUUCUUUUGUUAUUUCAUGUAAGAAUGCAAAAGUAGUGGCAAGGAAGUUGGGAUCCAAAUGCAAGGGAGACCAAACAUGCAUAUGGGUUCCAAAAAAUAUUUUUACUAACCUUGUAGUACCCAACAAGAGUUGGGUACCUAAAACCCAAGCUUAAAUUCCUUGCAGGUUUAUGCAUCCGGGGGCUCAAGCUGGAUUAUCGACAGCGGAUGCACAAACCAUAUGACGGAGGAGAAGAAGAUGUUCACCUCCUAUGUCAAGAACAAGGAUUCCCAGGAUACGAUCAUCUUUGGAGAUGGGAACCAAGGCAAGGUCAAAGGCUUGGUCAAGAUAGCCAUCACCAACGAGCACUCCAAAUCGAAUGUAUUUCUAGUAGAGUCGCUUGGUUACAACCUUCUGUCUGUAAGUCAAUUGUGUCACAUGGGUUACAAUUGUCUUUUUACAAAUGUUGAUGUAUCUGUCUUUAGAAGGAGUGAUGGUUCAUUAGCUUUUAAUGGUGUAUUAGAUGGCAAACUCUACUUAGUUGAUUUUUCAAAAGAGGAGGUCGAUCUAGAUGCAUGCUUAAUAGCUAAGACUAGUAUGGACUGGCUAUGGCAUCGUCAUCUAGCACAUGUUGGGAUGAAGAACCUUCAUAAACUUCUAAAGGGAGAACAUGUGUUAGGACUAACCAAUGUUUGUUUCGAGAAAGAUAGGCCUUGUGCAGCAUGUCAGGCAGGGAAACAGGUGGGAAGCACUCAUCAUAGCAAGAAUGUGAUGACAACAUCAAGACCACUGGAGCUUCUUCACAUGGACCUCUUCAUACCCGUUGCCUACCUUAGCAUUGGGGGAAGUAAGUAUGGUCUUAUAAUUGUUGAUGAUUUUUCCCGCUUCACUUGGGUGUUCUUUUUGCAGGAUAAAUUAGAAACCCAAGGGACCCUAAAGCGCUUUCUAAGGAGGGCUUAAAACGAAUUUGAGAUAAAGGUGAAAAAGAUAAGGAGCGACAACGGGUCCGAGUUCAAGAAUCUGCAAGUUGAGGAAUAUCUUGAGGAAGAAGGCGUCAAGCACGAGUUCUCCGCUCCCUACACACCACAGCAAAAUGGUGUGGUAGAGAGGAAGAAUAGGAAGCUUAUCGACAUGGCGAGAACGAUGCUUGGAGAGUUCAAGACGCCCGAGCGGUUUUGGUCGGAAGCUGUGAACACAGCUUGCCACGCCAUAAACCGGCUCUAUCUGCAUCGCCUUCUCAAGAAGACCUACGAACUCCUUACCGGUAACAAACCUAAUGUCUCCUACUUUCGUGUAUUUGGGAGCAAAUGUUACAUUCUAGUGAAGAAAGGUAGACAUUCUAAAUUUGCUCCCAAGGCAGUAGAAGGGUUUUUACUAGGGUAUGACUCAAAUACAAAGGCGUAUAGAGUCUUCAACAAAUCAUCGGGUUUGGUUGAAGUCUCUAGCGAUGUUGUAUUUGAUGAGACUAAUGGCUCUCCAAGAGAGCAAGUUGAUCUUGAUGACAUAGAUGAAGAUGAUGUUCCAACGGUCACAAUGCGCACGAUGGCGAUUGGUGAUGUGCGACCACAGGAACAACAGGAGCAAGAUCAGCCAUCUUCCUCCACAAUGGUGCAUCCUCCAACUCAAGACGGUGAACAAGUACCUCAAGAAGAGGGACAAGAUCAAGGGGGAGCACGGGAAGAACAAGUGAUGGAGGAAGAAGCACCACGUGCCCCUCCAACUCAAGUCCGAGCAACGAUCCAACGACAUCACCACGUUGACCAGAUUCGGGGUGACAUAAGCAAGGGAGUAACUACUCGCUCAAGAUUAGCUAACUUUUGUGAGCAUUACUCGUUUGUCUCUUCUAUUGAGCCUUUUAGGGUAGAAAAGGCCUUGCAGGAUCCGGAUUGGGUGUUGGCCAUGCAGGAAGAACUCAACAACUUCAAGAGAAAUGAAGUUUGGAGCCUGGUGCCACGUCCAAAGCAAAAUGUUGUGGGAACCAAGUGGGUGUUCCGCAACAAGCAAGACGAGCACGGGGUGGUGACAAGAAACAAGGCUCGACUUGUGGCAAAAGGUUAUGCCCAAGUCGCAUGUUUGGAUUUUGAGGAGACUUUUGCUCCUAUGGCUAGGCUAGAGUCUAUUCAAAUUUUAUUAGCAUAUGCCGCUCACCACUCUUUUAGGCUAUUUCAAAUGGAUGUGAAGAGCGCUUUCCUCAAUGGGCCAAUAAAGGAGGAGGUAUACGUGGAACAACCCCUGGCUUUGAGGAUGAUAGGUACCCCGACCAUGUGUUCAAGCUCUCUAAGGCGCUCUAUGGACUUAAGCAAGCCCCAAGAGCAUGGUAUGAAUGCCUUAGAGAUUUCUUAAUUGCUAAUGCCUUCAAGGUUGGGAAAGUCGAUCCCACUCUUUUUACAAAGACUUGUGAUGGUGAUCUUUUUGUGUGCCAAAUUUAUGUCGAUGACAUAAUAUUUGGUUCUACUAAUCAAAAGUCUUGUGAGGAGUUUAGCAGGGUGAUGACACAAAAGUUUGAGAUGUCGAUGAUGGGCGAGUUGACCUACUUCCUUGGGUUCCAAGUAAAGCAACUCAUGAACGACACCUUCAUCUCCCAAACGAAGUACACACAAGAUCUUCUCAAACGGUUUGGGAUGAAAGACGCCAAGCCCGCGAAGACACCGAUGGGAACCGACGGGCAUGUUGACCUCAACAAAGGAGGUAAGUCCGUUGAUCAAAAGGCAUACCGGACUAUGAUAGGUGCUAGUAGACCGGACAUUAUGCUAAGUGUAUGCAUGUGUUCUAGAUAUCAAUCCGACCCCAAGGAAUGUCACCUUGUGGCCGUUAAGCGAAUUCUUAGAUAUUUAGUUUCUACUCCUUGCUUCGGGAUCUGGUAUCCAAAGGGGUCUACCUUUGACUUGAUUGGAUACUCAGACUCCGAUUAUGCCGGGUGCAAGGUUGAUAGGAAGAGCACAUCAGGGACGUGCCAAUUUUUAGGAAGGUCCCUGGUGUCCUGGAGCUCUAAGAAACAAACAUCUGUUGCCCUAUCCACCGCUAAGGCCGAGUAUGUUGCCGCAGGACAAUGUUGCGUGCAACUACUUUGGAUGAGGCAAAUCCUCCGGGACUUUGGCUACAAUCUGAGCAAAGUCCCACUCCUAUGUGACAAUGAGAGUGCAAUCCGCAUGGCGGAUAAUCCUGUUGAACACAGCCGCACUAAGCACAUAGACAUCCGGCAUCACUUCCUGAGAGACCACCAGCAAAAGGGAGAUAUCGAGGUGUACCAUAUUAGCACCGAGAACCAGCUAGCCGAUAACUUUACCAAGCAGUUGGAUGAGAAAACUUUUUGCAGGUUGCGUAGUGAGCUAAAUGUCUUAGAUUCGCGUAACUUGGAUUGAUCUAUAGCUUACAUGUGUUCUAUGCCUUUGAUCAUGUUACUUUAUGCAUUUAAAUCCAUUCCUGAUCCCCGGACCUCACAAGUCCAUUAGCAAGUGAUGCACAUAUUAAGGGGGAGAUGUGCUACAACUUGACCUUUUGAGAAUAACCUGGUUGUUUGAGUAUACUUGAUAUAGUCUAAGAGGUGCAUUGAAAGGGAAAUGUGGACUUGGACGAUGCAAAGACUUCCACUACACUCCGAUAUUAGUGUAAUUAAUUCCAAGUUCAUACUUAUGCUCUUAUUGCCUUUUGCUCUUAAUUGACAUUUUUGGUGAGGCAAUGGGGUUAAAGGGCCAAAAAUGAUCUCGUUUUGGUGCUUAAUGCCAAAGGGGGAGAAAUUAAGGCCAAAGCAACUGGAUCAGCCAACCACUUGAGAAUUUUGAAAAUAGUAGAGUUAGAAUUUGUGAUUUCUCUAAAAAUACUCUUAUUGCAAAAUUUGGUCUCUUAUGGGGGAGAAUUUUGAUUAUGGGAAAAAGGGGGAGUUUUUGGUACUUGAUCAAUCCUUCUCUUGGAAUAUCUCUCGAUUUGCCCAAACAAGUGUGUUUGACUUAGAGAUAGGAAAAAGAAUUUGAUUUGCAAAAACAAACCAAGUGGUGGCAAAGAAUGAUCCAAAUAUGUCAAAUCUUGUGCAAAAAUGAUUUGCUCCUAAGCUGCAUUGAUGUUGCACUUAUUUUGGUAGCUUUUUUGAUGUGUUGGUAUAAAUCACCAAAAAGGGGGAGAUUGAAAGGGAAAUGAGCCCUUGGGCAAUUUCUAUAAUGUUUUGGUGAUUAAGUGCCCAACACGUUUAAUUAAGUUCUUAUGUGCCAAAUAAAGUGAGAAGUGCAAAUCAAGGCAAAAGGUAUGUUUCUAGACUUGGUGAAUUGUUUUAUGUACUAACAUGAUUAUCCAAGUGCGAGAAACAGUGACUAAAGAAGAAAAGAGAAAAAGGAAAAGACUUAGCUCUAUGCAGCCAAACUUCAGCUCGGUCUGGCAUACCGGACUGUCCGGUGGUGCACCGGACAGUGUCCGGUGCGCCAGGCUGGUCCGCGGUGAACUUGCCGCUCUAGGGAUUCAACGGCGGCGUACGGCUAUAAUUCACCGGACUGUCCGGUGGGUCAUCUGAGGCAAACUCGUUACUCUCGGAAAUGAAGAAAGGCGACGUGGUUAAAAUUCACCGGACUGUCUGGUGGUGCACCGGACUGUCCGGUGAGCCAACGGUCGGCCGCGAAAUCUGCGGGCGACGCGUGGCAGCUCCAACGGUCGGCGGGGGGCACCAGACUGUUCGAUGCGCCAACGGGCCCGGAGCUGCAACGGUCGUCUGUGCCCAAUUUGGAAGGAAAUCGUGCACCGGACAGGCUAGAGUAGCUGUCCGGUGCGCCACUCGACAGAAGGCAAGGAUGGUGAGAGCACCUAGAGGGGGAGUGAAUAGUGUUGGGAAUAGUCCCACAUUGUGUGGUGAGGGUGGGAAAGCAUGGUUUAUAUGGUUGAGGGUGCAACCCCUAACAGGCUAGCUUUUUGGGGGAGUGUUGGCCCAAGAGACCUAAAGCCCGCUGCUAUAUGUGCGGGCGCGUGUGUCGCAGACCGAUAGCCUGGGUGGGCGCGCCGUGUGUGUGGGCGGCCCCGACGGACAUGCCAUGUGUCGGCGGUCUGGUUCCAACAAAUAGGUGAUCCUGUAAAAUUCAACAACUAAUAGCCACAAAUCUUGGUUAUAUAAAAGUUAGUGCGACUAAGUAGUUGCGAAGCGAGUUCUUGUGGCCAAGACAAUCACAAAGAGAUCAACACAAGAGUGAAAGGGAAAUGUGCCUUUGGGCCAUUUCUAAGUAUUUUGGUGAUUGAGUGCAAACACAAGUGCUUAAAUGUGAAAAUAUGCCCAUGGAUGAACAAAGUGCAAAUCACAAGUUAAGGUAUGUUUCUAAGCCUUAGUACAUUGGUUUUGUGUACUAAUAUUCUUGUCUAAGUGUUAGAAACAGGAAGAAGAAGAGGAGUGGAGGGCUGCUUCGGGCUGGGGCACCGGACUGUCCGGUGUGCACCGGACAGUGUCCGGUGCGCCAGACCAGCGCGGAGCAAACCAGCCGCUCUCGGGUUUUUCUCCGGCGACUUCGGCUAAAAUUCACCGGACUGUCCGGUGUGCACCGGACUGUCCGGUGAGCCAACGGUCGGCCGGGCCAACGGUCGGCCGCGUGAUCGGCACGCGACACGUGGCCGAGCCAACGGUCGGAAGGAGGCACCGGACUGUCCGGUGUGCACCGGACUGUCCGGUGCGCCAGAUCUGCAACGGUCGGCAACGGUCGGCUGCGCUGUUUAUGGAAAUAAAUCGGGCACCGGACAGUGUCCGGUGUGCACCGGACUGUCCGGUGCGCCCGACGGCAGAAGGCAAGGAUAGCCUUCCAGAUGUGUUCUCAACGGCUCCUAGCUGCCUUGGGGCUAUAAAAGGGACCCCUAGGCGCAUGGAGGAGGACACCAAGCAUUCCUACAACACUCCUAAACAUCAAGACAUCGAUCUCGCGCAUUUGUUUCAUUGUGAUAGCAUAUAGAGCUCUUGUGGAGUUGUGAACUCUUUGAGUUGUGUUGCGAGCUCUUGUUGCGACUUGUGUGCGUGCUGUUGCUCUGAUCUUUUGAAGUCUUGUGUGUGUUGCUCAUCCCCUUACUUACUCCGUGAUUCUCUGUGAACAUCUUUUGUAAGGGCGAGAGGCUCCAAGUUGUGGAGAUUCCUCGCAAACGGGAUUGAGAAAAGAAAAGCAAGAACACCGUGGUAUUCAAGUUGAUCAUUGGAUCACUUGAGAGGAGUUGAGUGCAACUCUCGUCCAUUGGGACGCCACAACGUGGAGUAGGCAAGUUUUUGUACUUGGCCGAACCACGGGAUAACCACCGUGUCAUCUCUGUGAUUGAUUUCUUGUGGUUAUUGUGUUUUGACUCCUAUCUAGCCACCUGGCCAUACUUGUGCUAACACUUAACAAGUUUUUGUGGCUUAAGUUUUGAAGUUUUACAGGAUCACCUAUUCACCCCCCCUCUAGGUGCUCUCAAUUGGUAUCAGAACCGUUCUCUUCAAAGAAAGGGACUAACCGCCCGAAGAGAUGGAUCCUAAGGGGAAGGGAAUCGUGAUCAACGACAAGGAAAAGGAGUCCUUCGUCAACGAGCCAAAGGAUGACAAGUCCAACGACUUGGGCUCAGGCUAUAAACGAAAAGAUGGGAAGAAGAAGAAGACAAGGCGCAUCAAGGAGAUUGUCUACUACGACAGCGACGAAUCUUCCUCUUCCCAAAAGGACGACGACAACGACUACAGGAAGACGGUUAAUUCAAACUUUUCAUUUGAUUAUUCUCGUAUUCCACAUAGUUCGAAUUCGCAUUUGCUUUCCAUUCCUCUUGGCAAACCUCCACACUUCGAUGGGGAGGACUACGGAUUUUGGAGUCACAAAAUGCGUAGUCACCUAUUCUCUCUCCAUCCAAGCAUAUGGGAGAUUGUAGAGAAUGGAAUGAAAUUUGAUAGCUCGGAUAGCCCUAUGCUUAUAAAUGAACAAAUCCAUAGAAAUGCACAAGCUACUACUGUUCUCUUAGCAUCUUUGUGCAGGGAAGAAUACAAUAAGGUGAGCGGCUUGGACAAUGCCAAGCAGAUAUGGGACACCCUCAAAAUCUCUCACGAGGGCAACGACGUCACCAUGCUCACCAAGAUGGAGUUGGUGGAAGGCAAACUUGGGAGAUUCGCUAUGAUAAGGGGAGAGGAGCCAACCCAAACAUACAACCGGCUCAAGACCCUUGUCAACAAGAUAAGGAGCUAUGGAAGCACGCGAUGGACGGACCAUGACGUCGUCCGCCUAAUGCUAAGGUCCUUUACCGUUCUUGAUCCUCAUUUGGUGAAUAAUAUUCGUGAGAAUCCCAGGUACACCAAAAUGUCGCCCGAAGAAAUUCUUGGAAAAUUUGUAAGCGGGCGGAUGAUGAUCAAGGAGGCAAGGUACGUCGAUGACGCGUUGAACGGUCCAAUUCACGAGCCUCAACCCAUUGCUCUCAAGACAUCGAGAAGCAAGGAGGCACUACCAAGCAAGGUGGCGCAAAUUGAGGCGGCCGGACUUAAUGAUGAAGAAAUGGCUCUCAUCAUUAAGCGCUUCAAGACGGCGUUAAGGGGUCGCAAGGAGCAUCCCAACAAGACCAAGACGAAGGGGAAGCGCUCAUGCUUCAAGUGUGGUAAGAUUGGUCACUUUAUCGCUAAUUGUCCCGAUAAUGAUAGUGACCAGGAAAAGAAGAGUGGAAAAUGGGAAAAGAAGAAGAAUUACAAGAAGGCAAAGGGCGAGGCUCAUAUUGGAAAGGAGUGGGAUUCGGAUUGCUCCUCGUCCGACUCCGACAACGAAGGACUCGCCGCCACCGCCUUCAACAAGUCAUCCCUCUUCCCCAACGAGCAUCACACGUGCCUCAUGGCUAAGGAGAAGAAAGUAAGUACUCGAAACUCUACUUAUGCUUCUUCUAGUGAGGAUGAGUCUAGUGAUGAUGAAAUAGACUAUUCAUGCUUAUUUAAAGGUUUAGAUAGAUCUAAGAUUGACAAAAUUAAUGAAUUGAUUGAUGCUUUAAAUGAUAAGAAUAGGCUACUAGAAAAGCAAGAGGAUCUCUUGUACGAAGAACAUGAUAAGUUUGUAGAGACUCAAAAAUCCCUUGCAUUAGAAAUUAAGAGAAAUGAAAUGCUUGCUUGUGAAUUGUCCACAUGCCAUGAUUCAAUUUCUAAAUUAAAGAGCAUUAAUGAUGACUUAAAUGCUAAACUAGUAGAAGCACAAAAAUCCAACUCUUGUGUUGAACAUGUUGAAAUUUGCACUAGGUGUAAGAAUGUUGAUAUUAAUGCUUGUAGUGAUCACUUGGUUUCAAUUUCUAAAUUGAAUGAUGAAGUGGCUAGUCUUAAUGCUCAACUUAAGGCUAGCAAAAACGAAUUUGAUAAGCUAAAAUUUGCAAGGGAUGCCUACACUAUUGGUAGACACCCCUCAAUUAAGGAUGGACUUGGCUUCAAAAGGGAAGCCAAGAACUUAACAAGCCAUAAGGCUCCCAUUCCCGCUAAGGAGAAAGGGAAGGCCCCUAUGGCUACUAGUGCUAAAAAGAACCAUGCCUUUUUGUAUCAUGAUAGGAAAAAUUCUAGAAAUGUUUUUAGAAGUUAUGAUGCUUUUGAUUCACAUGCCUAUGAUUCUUAUGCCAUGACUGCUUCUAGUUCUUCCUAUAUGCAUGGUAGAAAUAUGACUAGGAGAAAUGCUAUUCAUCAUGUGCCUAGAAAGAAUACUAUUCAUGCUCCUAGGAAAGUAGUAAAUGAACCUUCUACAAUUUAUUGUACUUUAAAUGCUUCCUUUGCUAUUUGUAGAAAGGAUAGGAAGAUAGUUGCUAGGAAGUUAGGGGCAAAAUGCAAGGGAGACAAAACUUGCAUUUGGGUCCCUAAGAAUAUUUGUGCUAACCUUGUAGGACCCAACAAGAGUUGGGUACCUAAGUCCCAAGCCUAAAUUUGCCUUGCAGGUUUAUGCAUCCGGGGGUUCAAGCUGGAUUAUUGAUAGCGGAUGCACAAACCAUAUGACGGGGGAGAAGAAGAUGUUCACCUCCUACGUCAAGAAUAAGGAUUCCCAAGAUUCAAUUAUAUUCGGUGAUGGGAAUCAAGGCAAGGUAAAAGGAUUAGGUAAAAUUGCAAUCUCAAAUGAGCACUCAAUUUCCAAUGUGUUUUUAGUUGAGUCCUUGGGAUAUAAUUUGCUAUCUGUUAGUCAAUUAUGCAACAUGGGGUAUAACUGUCUAUUUACAAAUAUAGAUGUGUCUGUCUUUAGAAGAAGUGAUGGUUCACUAGCUUUUAAGGGUGUAUUAGACGGCAAACUUUAUUUAGUUGAUUUUGCAAAAGAGGAGGCCGGUCUAGAUGCAUGCUUAAUAGCUAAGACUAGCAUGGGCUGGCUGUGGCAUCGCCGCUUAGCACAUGUGGGGAUGAAGAACCUUCACAAGCUUCUAAAGGGAGAACACGUGAUAGGUUUGACUAACGUACAAUUCGAAAAAGAUAGACCUUGUGCAGCUUGUCAAGCAGGUAAACAAGUUGGAGGAGCACAUCACAGCAAGAAUGUGAUGACCACUUCAAGACCCCUGGAGCUGCUGCAUAUGGACCUCUUCGGACCCGUCGCCUAUCUGAGCAUAGGAGGGAGUAAGUAUGGUCUAGUUAUUGUUGAUGACUUUUCCCGCUUCACUUGGGUGUUCUUUUUGCAGGAUAAGUCUGAAACCCAAGGGACCCUCAAGCGCUUCCUCAGGAGAGCUCAAAAUGAGUUUGAGCUCAAGGUGAAGAAGAUAAGAAGCGACAACGGGUCCGAGUUCAAGAACCUUCAAGUGGAAGAGUUCCUUGAGGAGGAAGGGAUCAAGCAUGAGUUCUCCGCUCCCUACACACCACAGCAAAAUGGUGUGGUAGAGAGGAAGAACAGGACGCUAAUCGACAUGGCAAGGACUAUGCUUGGUGAGUUCAAGACCCCCGAGCGGUUUUGGUCGGAAGCCGUGAACACGGCUUGCCACGCCAUCAACAGGGUCUACCUUCACCGCCUCCUCAAGAAGACGUCGUAUGAGCUUCUAACCGGUAACAAACCCAAUGUAUCUUACUUUCGUGUAUUUGGGAGCAAGUGCUACAUUCUAGUGAAGAAGGGUAGAAAUUCUAAGUUUGCUCCCAAAGCUGUAGAAGGGUUUUUAUUAGGUUAUGACUCAAAUACAAAGGCGUAUAGAGUCUUCAACAAAUCAUCGGGUUUGGUUGAAGUCUCUAGCGACGUUGUAUUUGAUGAGACUAAUGGCUCUCCAAGAGAGCAAGUUGUUGAUUGUGAUGAUAUAGAUGAAGAAGAUGUUCCGACGGCCGCUAUACGGACCAUGGCGAUUGGAGAAGUACAGCCACAGGAACAAGAUGAACGAGAUCAACCUUCUUCCUCAACUAUGGUGCAUCCCCCAACCGAAGAUGACGAACAGGUACCUCAAGUGGAGGCGCUUGAUCAAGGGGGAGCACAAGAUGAUCAAGUGAUGGAGGAAGAAGCGCAACCGGCACCUCCAACCCAAGUUCGAGCGAUGAUUCAAAGGGAUCAUCCCGUCGAUCAAAUUCUGGGUGACAUUAGCAAGGGAGUAACUACUCGAUCUCGAUUAGUUAAUUUUUGUGAGCAUUACUCCUUUGUCUCUUCUAUUGAGCCUUUCAGGGUAGAGGAGGCCUUGCUAGAUCCGGAUUGGGUAUUGGCCAUGCAGGAGGAGCUCAACAACUUCAAGCGCAAUGAAGUUUGGACACUGGUGCCUCGUCCGAAGCAAAAUGUUGUGGGAACCAAGUGGGUGUUCCGCAACAAACAGGACAAGCACGGGGUGGUGACGAGAAACAAGGCUCGACUUGUGGCAAAAGGUUAUGCCCAAGUCGCAGGUUUGGAUUUCGAGGAGACUUUUGCUCCUGUGGCUAGGCUAGAGUCAAUUCGAAUCUUGCUAGCAUAUGCCGCUCACCAUUCUUUCAGGUUGUACCAAAUGGAUGUGAAGAGCGCUUUCCUCAACGGGCCAAUCAAGGAGGAAGUGUACGUAGAGCAACCCCCUGGCUUCGAGGAUGAUCGGUUCCCCGACCAUGUGUGUAAGCUCUCUAAGGCGCUCUAUGGACUUAAGCAAGCCCCAAGAGCAUGGUAUGAAUGCCUUAGAGAUUUCUUAGUUGCUAAUGCUUUCAAGGUUGGGAAAGCCGAUCCAACUCUUUUUACUAAGACUUAUAAUGGUGAUUUGUUUGUGUGCCAAAUUUAUGUCGAUGACAUAAUAUUUGGUUCUACUAACCAAAAGUCUUGUGAAGAGUUUAGCAGGGUGAUGACGCAGAAAUUCGAGAUGUCGAUGAUGGGCGAGUUGAACUACUUCCUUGGGUUCCAAGUGAAGCAACUCAAGGAUGGCACCUUCAUCUCCCAAACGAAGUACACGCAAGACUUGCUAAAGAGGUUUGGGAUGAAGGACACCAAGCCCGCAAAGACGCCGAUGGGAACCGACGGACACACAGACCUCAACAAAGGAGGUAAGUCCGUUGAUCAAAAGGCAUAUCGGUCAAUGAUAGGGUCUUUACUUUAUCUAUGUGCUAGUAGACCGGAUAUUAUGCUUAGCGUAUGCAUGUGUGCUAGAUUUCAAUCCGAUCCUAAGGAGUGUCACUUAGUGGCGGUGAAGCGAAUUCUUAGAUAUCUAGUUGCUACGCCUUGCUUCGGACUCUGGUAUCCAAAGGGGUCUACCUUUGACUUGGUUGGAUACUCAGACUCCGACUAUGCUGGAUGUAAGGUCGAUAGGAAGAGUACAUCGGGGACGUGCCAAUUCUUAGGAAGGUCCCUGGUGUCAUGGAAUUCUAAGAAACAAACUUCCGUUGCCCUAUCCACCGCUGAGGCCGAGUAUGUUGCCGCAGGACAGUGCUGCGCGCAACUACUUUGGAUGAGGCAAACCCUCCGGGACUUUGGCUACAAUCUGAGCAAAGUCCCACUCCUAUGUGAUAACGAGAGUGCUAUCCGCAUGGCGGAAAAUCCUGUUGAACACAGCCGCACAAAGCACAUAGACAUCCGGCAUCACUUUUUGAGAGACCACCAGCAAAAGGGAGAUAUCGAAGUGUUUCACGUUAGCACCGAGAACCAGCUAGCCGAUAUCUUUACCAAGCCUCUAGAUGAGAAGACCUUUUGCAGGCUGCGUAGUGAGCUAAAUGUCUUAGAUUCGCGGAACUUGGAUUGAAUUGUAGCAUACAUGUGUUUAUGCCUUUGAUCAUGUUCAUUCUGCAUUUUGUUGCUUAUUGUGGUGCUCAAGUUGUACAAACACUUCUUGGACCUCACAAGUCCGUUGCAAAGUGAUGCACAUGUUUAGGGGGAGAUGUGUUACACCUUGACCCUUUGAGACUAACCAUGUGCUUGAG